Molecule: ribosomal RNA, 425 nt
Filed under: uncultured eukaryote
Lineage: Eukaryota
Description: bacterial SSU rRNA
Rfam family: Eukaryotic small subunit ribosomal RNA
Source: RNAcentral
CAAUAGCGUAUAUUAAAGUUGUUGCAGUUAAAAAGCUCGUAGUUGGAUUUCUGGUGGGGCUGUCGGCCUGGCUCCGAAAGGGGUCGUGGUUAGUACACGCCUGGCCAUCCUCGGGGGAAGCUUUGCUGGCAUUAAGUUGUCGGCGGAGUGACGCUCGUCGUUUACUGUGAACAAAUUAGAGUGUUCAAAGCAGGCGUUUGCUUGAAUAUAUUAGCAUGGAAUAAUGGAAUAGGACGCUGGUUCUAUUUUGUUGGUUUUGAGAACCAGAGUAAUGAUUAAUAGGGACAGUUGGGGGCAUUCAUAUUUCAUUGUCAGAGGUGAAAUUCUUGGAUUUAUGAAAGACGAACUUCUGCGAAAGCAUUUGCCAAGGAUGUUUUCAUUAAUCAAGAACGAAAGUUGGGGGCUCGAAGACGAUCAGAUACCGU